This is a non-coding RNA of Salvelinus sp. IW2-2015, 1150 nucleotides long. NCBI's taxonomy places the organism in Eukaryota, Metazoa, Chordata, Actinopteri, Salmoniformes, Salmonidae. The record is from RefSeq and is a predicted model, not a curated record.
UAAUAAAGUUGUGUUUGUAUUGUAGAGUCGUAGAGAGAGGGAGAUUCUGCAGCAGGUGAUGGUUCAGGAUGAAGAGACUCUAGAACUCAGAGAAACAUUCUCCUCCCUGCAACAGGAAGUGGAGGCCAAGACCAAGAAACUCAAGAAGCUCUAUGCUAAGCUGCAGUGUGUGAAGGUGAAAUCCAGGACGUUAAUGAUGAGCACGUCAGGAGUCGACAGGAGCUGGAGCAAACGCAGAACGAACUCACCAGAGAACUCAAGUUCAAGUAUCUGAUCAUAGAGAACUUCAUUCCUCCGGAGGAGAAGAAUAAGAUCAUGAACGGUUGACCUUUGACCCUGAGGAGGACCAGUGGAGUUUCCAACUCUCCCCCCUCCGAGAGGUCUGAGUGUGUGUGUCUGUGGAUCUGGGUGUGUCUGUCUGACUCACGAUUGAACAGCCAUGGUCAGAUGAAGAAGAGGCUAGCCUCGGCAGUCGGAUACAAACGGCAAUCAGCCAGUACGCACGGGUUGCCUUAGCGAUGGAGCCCACUCCAGAUACCGGGCUGAGAACAUCAUGUUCUUGGAGCUGGACAUGAGUCCUCCCACCACAGUCUCAUUGGACCACUGGCCCUCAGAGGUGGGGCCUAACUGUAGCUCCUCUCCCACAGACAGCGCCCUCUACAGGGAGAGAGCCACACGCGUCCGCAAGUCACGCUCCUGGUGUCAGGCCCCACGAGCCAUCACUUCCUCCUCCUCCACGGUUUCCCUGGCAACCCAUUCUACAGCCACACCCAGUACUGCCCAGUGAAUACCGGCCUCUCCCUACCUACCUCUCUACUCUCUCUCUCUCCUCUCCUCUCUCUGGUCUACUCUUUACAGCAGCCUGCUAACUCCUCCCCUUUCCUCUCUUGACCAAUCAGCUCUCAGGAGUGGGAAACCACUCAACAGUCUUUGCCUCUGCUGCCUCAUGAUUGGUUGAUCACUGCCGUGGGAGGAGCCAAAGCCUGAUUGACAGACGCAGAUCUACUGCCUCAAGGACUCCACUACCCAGACUACCCUGGGGGAGUGAAGGAGAAACUAUCCAUCAUACUCUCCUCCUUCCUGUGUGUGUGUGUGUGUGGCAGCCCAGGGUAGUCAGAGGUGAAACUCACAAUAAAUGAAGACAGCUGGA